CCUACGGGGGGCAGCAGUGGGGGAUAUUGGGCAAUGGGCGCAAGCCUGACCCAGCAACGCCGCGUGAAGGAAGAAGGAUUUCGGGUUGUAAACUUCUAUUGUCAGGGAAGAAUAGAAGACGGUAACUGAAGUAUAAGGCACGGCUAACUACGUGCCAGCAGCCGCGGUAAUACGUAGGGGGCAAGGGUUGACCGGGUUUACUGGGGGGAAAGGGCGGGUAGCCGGGUUGACAAGUCAGAUGUGAAAUCCUGCGGCUUAACCGCAGAAAUGCAUUUGAAACUGUUGAGCUUGAGUACUGGAGAGGCAAACGGAAUUCCUAGUGUAGCGGUGAAAUGCGUAGAUAUUAGGAGGAACACCAGUGGCGAAGGCGGUCUGCUGGACUGCAACUGACGGUGAGGCGCGAAAGCGUGGGGAGCAAACAGGAUUAGAUACCCUUGUAGUC
RNAcentral lists this ribosomal RNA (442 nucleotides) under uncultured bacterium. RNAcentral's name for it is "partial 16S ribosomal RNA". It matches the Rfam family "Bacterial small subunit ribosomal RNA", at positions 338 to 795 of the family's 1533-position model. The record is from RNAcentral.